UUCCGGUUGAUCCUGCCGGACCCUACUGCUAUCGGGAUGGGACUUAGGCAUGCUAGUUCGCGUCUUUAAGCCACGGUGAAGACGCAGCGAACGGCUCAGUAACACGUGGCCAACCUACCCUUGGGACAGAGAUAACCCCGGGAAACUGGGGAUAAUAUCCGAUAGGUGAGAAGGCCUGGAACGGUUUCUCGCCCAAAGGAUGCUGGAACCAUGCUUUCGGCAUCGCCCAAGGAUGGGGCUGUGGCCGAUCAGGUAGUUGGUGAGGUAAUGGCUCACCAAGCCUAUAACCGGUUCGGGCCGUGAGAGCGGGAGCCCGGAGAUGGGCACUGAGACAAGGGCCCAGGCCCUACGGGGCGCAGCAGUCGCGAAAACUCCGCAAUACGCGGAAGCGUGACGGGGCCAUCCCGAGUGCCGUCCGCUGAGGAUGGCUUUUCCCCAGUGUAGAUAGCUGGGGGAAUAAGGAGAGGGCAAGUCUGGUGUCAGCCGCCGCGGUAAUACCAGCUCUCCGAGUGGUGGGGAUGUUUAUUGGGCUUAAAGCAUCCGUAGCUGGCUGGGCAAGUCCCCUGUUAAAUCUGACGAUUCAAUCGUUGGAUUGCGGGGGAUACUGCUCGGCUAGGGGGCGAGAGAGGCCGACGGUAUUCCCGGGGUAGGGGUGAAAUCCUAUAAUCCCGGGAGGACCACCAGUGGCGAAGGCUGUCGGCUAGAACGCGCCCGACGGUGAGGGAUGAAAGCUGGGGGAGCGAACCGGAUUAGAUACCCGGGUAGUCCCAGCUGUAAACGAUGCAGCUAGGUGUUCGGGCGGCCACGUGCCGCUCGAGUGCCGCAGGAAACUGUUAAGCCUGCCGCCUGGGGAGUACGGCCGCAAGGCUGAAACUUAAAGGAAUUGGCGGGGGAGCAC
This 898-nucleotide ribosomal RNA is filed under the name uncultured Thermoprotei archaeon. Its description in RNAcentral is "bacterial SSU rRNA". It matches the Rfam family "Archaeal small subunit ribosomal RNA", at positions 1 to 879 of the family's 1478-position model. The record is from RNAcentral. Lineage: Archaea; Thermoproteati; Thermoproteota; Thermoprotei.